AUUAGUACUGUAAUAUCUUCUCCACCCGAUUUACUGGCAAGCUCCGGCGGCCGUGCAGGCUGGUAGACAUGCCCGCCUCUACCCCCCCUCCCCCUCUUGCUGUCAAUUCGCCUGCACAAGCCCCACAGGCUACCCAUGCCUUGUACAGACACACGAACGUGCCGUGCAGGCUGGUAGACAUGCCCCCCUCCAUCCCCCCUCCCCCCCUCACUGUUAAUUCGCCUGCACAAGCCACCGCAGGCUAUCCAUGCCUAGUACAGACACACGAACGUGCCGUGCAGGCUGGUAGACAUGCCCGCCUCUACCCCCCCUCCCCCCCUCGCUGUCAAUUCGCCUGCACAAGCCUCCAAAGGCUACACAUGCCUUGUACAGACACAUGAACGUGCCGUGCAGGCUGGUAGACAUGCCCCCCUCCAUCCCCCCUCCCCCCCUCACUGUUAAUUCGCU
RNAcentral lists this long non-coding RNA (447 nucleotides) under Chlamydomonas reinhardtii. RNAcentral's name for it is "long non-coding RNA (CREI_LNC001476)". Lineage: Eukaryota; Viridiplantae; Chlorophyta; Chlorophyceae; Chlamydomonadales; Chlamydomonadaceae. The record is from RNAcentral.